GAACAGAUUCAGAAUGGCCUUAGGUCCCCAACAGAUUCAGAACAUAUAGAGCGCGUCCGCCCUAACAAAACAGAAGACACCCACGUGUCUAGCAUAUGAUCAUAGCUUCUUAUCAGAAUGGCAUCAAAUGCCGAGCAUGCUCAUCAGACAGAAUAAAAUCAAAUCACGCAUCAAAUUCACACCAAGUAUAUUAGAGCCCAAAAUCCAUUUUUUUUUAUUCUUAUUUUUAUUCUGACUUUCCAUUACUCAUAAAAUUUAUUUUCUGUAGUAUUCAUAAAAUUACAAUAAAAACUGAAUUUCAACUGAAUUCAUUCAUGAAACUUCUCAUACUUAAACAAAAUUACUUAACAUAGGAAAUUUCCAGCAUAAAAGCAAUCUUGACCUUUGCUGAGUUUUUGAUACAUAACUUGAGUUAUAUAUCUC
This 423-nucleotide long non-coding RNA is filed under the name Jatropha curcas. RNAcentral's name for it is "long non-coding RNA (JCUR_LNC002611)". Lineage: Eukaryota; Viridiplantae; Streptophyta; Magnoliopsida; Malpighiales; Euphorbiaceae. The record is from RNAcentral.